UUUUCGAGAUAUAAAAAUAAAAAAGCUCUCCGGUUGGGCUUGACGGUUUUAUGGGCUAGGCCAAAAAAUCAUGUUACCCAAACGGCUAGGGAACCAAACAGCACGGAAAGGGGAGGGAGAUGGGGAAGAAGGGGAAGGAGGCGGCGCGGGAGCGCCGCGAGCAGCGCCGCCGCGAGGUCACCCUCCUCCGUGCCGUCCCCUACGAGCCUCACCAGAGAUGGUGGGAGCACCUUGGGACGCCAACUUUGGAGCGGGCGGUGGCGGUUGUGACGGGGGCGAACCGCGGGAUCGGGCUCGAGGCCGCCCGCCAGCUCGCGCGCCACGGCCUCCACGUCGUGCUCGCCUCCCGCGACGUCUUGCGGGGACAGGCCGCCGCAGAGCAGAUCCGGGCGGAGGCGCCUGACGAGGCGGUCGUGAGCGUGGAGUGGCGGCAGCUCGACGUGGCGGACGCCGCGUCGGUGGAGGCCUUCGCGGCCUGGGCGGCGCAAACCCACGGCGGCAUCCAUGUCCUUGUUAACAAUGCAGGUGUAAACUUCAAUAAGGGAGCAGAUAACACUGUCGAGUUCGCUGAGCAUGUUAUCGAAACAAAUUAUUAUGGCACAAAGCGGAUGAUUGAUGCCAUGAUACCACUAAUGAAACCGUCUCCUUAUGCUGGGCGGAUAGUGAAUGUCAGCUCAAGGCUUGGUAGAGUCAAUGGCAGACGGAACAGAAUUGGUGAUGUGAGCCUAAGAGAUCAAUUGCUAAAUGAUGCUUGUUUGUCAGAGCAGUUGAUUGAUGAGAUGAUCGUGAAAUUUCUCGAACAAGUCAAGCAAGGUACCUGGUCCUCCAAUCAGUGGCCUCAGAUGUACACGGACUAUUCGGUCUCGAAGCUUGCUGUUAAUGCUUAUACACGGCUCAUGGCAAGGAGGCUCUUGGAUCGGCCUGAAGGCCAAAAAAUCUACAUUAACUGUUUCUGCCCUGGCUGGGUAAAGACUGCCAUGACUGGUUGGGAAGGGAAUAUUUCUGCCGAAGAAGGUGCUGAUACAGGAGUAUGGCUCGCACUAUUACCCCAUGAACAAGCAACAAAUGGAAAGUUCUUCGCUGAGAGACGUGAGAUAAGCUUCUAAGAGCAGCUCCAGCAGAGGAGGCAAAGGCACCCGCAUCACUGUAGCAGGCCAGAUUGCCGCUCUGCUGCCGGAUUUCGCACUCCAGCAGACUGCUACAGUGAUAGGGUGGGUGCUGUUUACAGAGGAUGGCUGUAGGCUCGAAAGGAGAAGAAGAGUAAUAUAAGGUGGCUUAUGACUGAGGUGCCAGUGACAUACUGGCAUGUUUUGCAGCAAUCAUUUGACAAGUGCAGAUAGCCAAGAUCAUUGAUGAGUACCACUAUAUCACAUUGAUGGAAAGCCCAUGACCUCUAAUUUUCUUAAUUAAGGAGAUCUAUCAAAUGUUUCUUGAUCAUUAACAAAGUCAGAUGUAGUAAAAGCCGAAUGUUCAUCCGGACCACUAGAAUGGCAACCAGCUGGCUGCUUCCUUCUUGUGCUACAAGCUUACAACAAUGACCUGUAUUGAAGUGCACAUUGCACCAAGGAUUCGAUUGGGUUUAGGCUACUUCACUAGCAAGUUUUCCUCAGUAUCAUGUUUGCUUGGUUUUGCCUUUACAUUUGUGCUCCAGUCGAGAUGAAGCUACGAGUGCAGGCAAUACUGUAUCAUCAUUCAGACUAAAGCCUCUGAAGACUAGUGAAGUGUUUUUUUCAUGUAGCAAGCAUGUGUGUAUGAUUUGUACUUUGGAGAUGGAGACAAAUUGGCUGCAAGCAUGCUGAAGAUGUCAGGGUCAAAUCAGCUGCGGUCAAUUAAUCUUAACCCCUACAGAAUGAGAUGCACAUACCCAUACAUGCAUCCAUUGUGCAUUAAACCAGCCGGUUCACGCAUACAUGCAU
Molecule: RNA transcript, 1916 nt
Organism: Phragmites australis (common reed)
Lineage: Eukaryota; Viridiplantae; Streptophyta; Magnoliopsida; Poales; Poaceae
Exons: 4
Source: RefSeq, a predicted model, not a curated record